This 505-nucleotide ribosomal RNA is filed under the name uncultured bacterium. Its description in RNAcentral is "partial 16S ribosomal RNA". It matches the Rfam family "Bacterial small subunit ribosomal RNA", at positions 28 to 507 of the family's 1533-position model. The record is from RNAcentral.
GACGAACGCUGGCGGCGUGCCUAAUACAUGCAAGUGGAACGCACAGUUUAUACCGUAGCUUGCUACACCAUAGACUGUGAGUUGCGAACGGGUGAGUAACGCGUAGGUAACCUGCCUGGUAGCGGGGGAUAACUAUUGGUAACGAUAGCUAAUACCGCAUAAUAUUGAUUAUUGCUUGAUAAUUGCUUGAAAGAUGCUAUUGCAUCACUACCAGAUGGACCUGCGUUGUAUUAGCUAGUAGGUGAGGUAACGGCUCACCUAGGCGACGAUACAUAGCCGAGCUUGGAAGGUGGUCGAGCACACUGGGACUGAGACACGGCCCAGACUCCUACGGGAGGCAGCAGUAGGGAAUCUUCGGAAAUGGACGAAAGUCUGACCGAGCAACGCCGCGUGAGUGAAGAAGGUUUUCGGGUCGUAAAGCUCUGUUGUAAGAGAAGAACGGGUAUGAGAGUGGAAAGUUCACACUGUGACGUUAUCUAACCAGAAAGGGACGGCUAACUACGUG